RNAcentral lists this small nucleolar RNA (84 nucleotides) under Helianthus annuus (common sunflower). RNAcentral's name for it is "Plant small nucleolar RNA R71". It matches the Rfam family "Plant small nucleolar RNA R71". From Rfam's summary of the family: R71 is a member of the C/D box family of snoRNAs containing the C (UGAUGA) and D (CUGA) box motifs. Multiple nearly identical copies of this snoRNA have been identified in Arabidopsis, and it is thought to function as a 2'-O-ribose methylation guide for 18S ribosomal RNA. Lineage: Eukaryota; Viridiplantae; Streptophyta; Magnoliopsida; Asterales; Asteraceae. The record is from RNAcentral.
AGACCGUGAUGAGGACACUUUCUUAGUAGCUCCUUGAACCUUUCCCAAGUUUCAUAUAAAGAUUCCCCAUCCUCUUCUGAGUAU